GCUUUUGUUCAUAUUCCAUGUUAUUACAGCUUCUCCCAACAAACUAGGAAGGUUAUGCAUGCCGUGAGGGACUCAAAAUCUGCAAGGUUUCAUCCUCCACUUCAUUUAUUCAUUUCUUUUGCAGAUGUAUGACAACUAGAAGAUGCCUUAUUCCAUCCAUCCAUUCAUUUAUAUGCCUUGUUCCAUCCAUCCAUUCAUUUAUCACCAAAAUCCAAGCACCUGAUCAGCCACCAAUGGGAUUCAAGGUAAAACGGCCUACUUUUGUUAUCCUCAUUUUGCAUGGAUUGCAUGCAGACUUUCCUUUAUCAACCUGAAUGAAUUUUCCACUUGUGGUAUGCUUUAUCCGUUUCUCCUUAUAUUUAUUUUCCCCUCUUUGGUAAUCUUCUCUAGCAAUUGUUCUCUCAAAUUAAAUGUAUAAAAACAUGUACAAAUUGAAACCUCCAUUUUAGACCAAUCCUUGUUUAUGCCAUUUUUGUAAAAUAUGUUUCCUUUGCUAUAGUCAAUUCCUUGAAUCACUCUACGAGGCUCAAAACUCCUAUAUGAUUAUUUGACUUGGGGUUGUAACUAUUACAUUUGCCUUCAAUUCUGUCUAGUUUUCCACAGGGAUUUUGCGAGAUAUUGUUCCAUUUGAUCCAUCUACAUCCAUGUCUUUUCUGUUCUAUCAACUGUGUAAAUCUUUAAUGUGGAUAGGUUUGAUUUAUAUCAUCUUCAUAGCAUGUGGGUAUGUUGAGGGCAGAGCAGAGCAAUGUACUAUUUUCUAUUCCUGAGAACUGAAAAUAUGCCCAGAAAACAUGUUUGGUACCGCAUUUUUUCAUGCUUUUAUUUUCAGUCUCUUUAAGAAAAUUUAAGUUCUGGAAUCUUCGUAAUGUUUUGAGGAUUGGGAAUCAGGUGAUGGUAUCUAUUUUCGCAGGAUGACUGAAUUGAUUUGUUGUCAUAGCAGGUAGGGUUUUUUCUCUGUUCAGUCUAGUUGAAGAUGACUUUUGAUGGUGGGGGGUAACGGGAAUUAUAGGGCCUCUUUGGUAACAGUUUUUGAGAACGGUUCUCAAAGAACAAUUAUUAGAAGCAGUUUUCAACUGUUUUCAAGAACAAAAUUUGUUUAAAAGCUCAAAUUGUUUUUUCUUUGUACUAAAGAACAUGCAACUGUUUUCAAGAUCACUUACCAAACAGACCCCAAGACUUUGUCUUUGAGGUUGAAACAAAAUGUGAUGACAGUAAAGGGUGAGAGUAUUGUAACGUUGUACUCGGUGAUACGUGUAAAUGGGUGGAUUUGAUUGUAUAAUAAGGGUGUGUUUGGGAGGCUUUUUAUUUGAAGCAUUUUCUUUAGAAACGUUUUUAGUCUUGUCGAGAGCUAUAAAUGAUUUUUAAUUUUUAAAAAUACCUAAUUUUUUUUCUUUCAAAAACCUUUUUGUACGUUAGAAAUAUUUUAAAAAAUAAUUAUGUUAAUAUUUUCUAGGAAUUUGUCCCUUGUUACUAUUAUCAUGGAUUCGAUGGGGAAAAAGUUGAUGUGUGAAGGAAAACGAUUUGGAUGAGAGUGCUCUUGAUAAACACGUUCAUUUGAGAGUGAUUUUAAGAUGGAGCAAAAGCAUUUCAUAAUGUUUAGAAACGCUUUCUUAGGUGUUUGAUAAAUUUUUAAAAAUUCAAAGAAUGAUUUGAAAUGAUAUUCAUAAACAACGAUUUAGAUCAUUUUUACAAAAAUCACCUUUGAUUAUAUACAAAGUAUUAAAAAAUAUAUUAUCCUAACAUUGAUUCCUCAACUGUUUUUAAUGGAAGCAUUGAUAACAAAAAUACAUUAGAUCACUAAAUCUUUCGACUGGACUGUAGAGUAAAAAUGUUUUUAUCCUUUCUACUAUUUGAAAAUUUUUAUGUAAUAGAAAAUUUUUAUUUUAGAAAUAUUAAAAAUACUUUUUAAAAUCAACGGCAAACAUGCUCUUCUGUUUGGUAAUUUAAAAAACACUUUUUAGUACAAAAGUGUCUUUGAAGAAAAAUAAGCAUUUCGCAAUUUAAAAAAGGUUAAAAAAGAUAGUGUUUUUUUAAGAACAUUGGAUAAAUAAUUCUUUUAAAAAUAUCUAUAAAAAAUGUUUUCACUAUUCAAAUAUAAAUACUCUUAAGGCACGUUUAUUUUCUCUAGAAACAUUUUUUUCAAAAGAAUUGCUUACCAAAUACUACUACAAAAAGCACUCUAUAAAUGAUUUUUUUAACUUUUUAGAAGUGUUUAAUAAAUUUUAUUGAUUUUUUUUCCAAAAAAAACCUUUUUAUACUGAGGGUGUUCUCUAAAAGCAUCGUUAAACAAACUCUUAUAAGGUUGCAGAAAGCUUCUAAUCAAAAUUCAAAGUUUCAACCAUUUAAAGAAGCAUUCAACAAAAAAAUCAAUCGCAAGUUUCGAUCCAACAAGGCGACCCGCAAAAGCGAAAACGACUAUGUUGUUGCUUUUCUGGAUUUGCAUUAGGUUUUUGAAGUUAAUUGUUCAAGGGUUAACAUAAAUGCGAUUCUAAUAAACAAAGACCUAUUCCAUAUUUCAGUGAUAAGCUUAAUCAUACAAAUAAGAGCUCAAUAAUCAGCCUACCGCCAUGAGUUCCAAGUAGUAUUAUUUCAUUUGUAAUAUCACAAGAAUGCAGCAAGAAUCUAUUUGUAUAAGGAGUUUUAGGUUACCUCUUCAAGUAGCUUUGCUGAAAGAAUUCUUUCAAUGACAAGAUGUAGCGAUGUAGUCCAUGGAUCAGACCAUGACUUGGUUUCUGAAUACCAGCUAUCAGCCCCCGAUAAUCUGACAAUGUGGCAUCAGACAAUGGCUCCAAGAACUCGCAGUGAGCCAAAAUUUCAGGUGGGGGCAUUCCAGCAAUGAGGUUGGUUUCCAGUUUUGGUUUCCCCUUGGUGAGCUCUCUAGGGGCUUCAACUGAGGCACAUUCAAUUGCAGAGGGGGAUGCACCGGGGAUUACUUCCUCUGUGAAAGGAAAAGCUCUUGCAGCUUGCAAGCAGAACUCUAUCCAUUGAUGGAUUACUGGAGAUGGCCCUCUGACUCGGCCCCCGAUUUGGCGGCUUCUUUCAAGUUUUGAAGUAGAUGGGAUUGCCUGCAGAAAGGAUACAGCAGAAUAUCCUAGUAAAUACACUAGUACACCAUGGAACAUAGACCAGCAUAGGAUAUCCAAAUCAGCUGAAAUAUCAAAACAGAUUCCAAUUCUCAUUAUAUUUAUCAUUAACCUGGUUCUUUCCUCAAUUUUUUUUUUCUUUUUCUUUUUAGAGCAUUAUUGAUAUAUUAGGGUUUUUGUUUUUCUUUUUUAUAGGCGAAGAUCAACACACUGUGAAGAAAGAAAGUAAAUGCAUAGUAUUAUGAGAUGAAAUCAGGACAUACCCAAAGAUCUGCCCAUAAGCUAGCUCCAGACUUAGGAACAAUUACUGCAACAUUAGACAUGCGUUUGGCUGCAGGAAGGACAUCACUACUCCACCCAACAGCCACCCAUACAUCUCCCACACUAAGUGCUUUUAUAUAGUGUGUGCUGUCAAAGCAUCGUACCUAUAUAAAGCCAUUUGAAUGCGUAAGUCCCAUUAUUGAUAUAAAAAAUAACAACCAUUGUACCACUCCAAAUGCAAAAUAGCUUUUAUGGAAUUCAAUUUCUUUUUGUUUUUCCUUUUUGACAGCACAAAAAUGGUAAGUUACCCUUACAUAAGCCAUAACUCACAAGUUGUAUCAGACUGAUUACCGUAGUUUACAAAAUCCGGUAGAAUUGACUCAGAGACUCAAAGUUAAUACAUAACAUAUCAAGUCCCAGAGCAAUACCAUCCAGUUAUUUUUGGUUAAUCACAUGAUAUUUAUUUCUUCUAUUUUAUGUUUUUUUUCCUUUUUCCUUUCUUUUCUCCAUUUCUUUGAUGAACUCACGGCUCUCAUCCUGGAUGUAAGAAAUAUCUAGCCAAUGAACAAUACUUAUUAUUGCAUGAGCGUCAGAUAAAACAACCGACAUAAUCUCAAUACCUGUUUCGCAAGCAACAUAAGAUUCUGCUGUACAGCAUUCCUCCCACCAUUAACUUGCAAUUCAAUGUUGUCUGUGUUGUAGGAUGCUCCCAUGUACUUUAAAACAGCACCAACAACCUCUCGUGGAGAAUCAAUCAUUGAAAUCCUCCCUGCAAGUUCAGGUCGCCAUAAAUCUGCCCAGUCCUGCAACCAUCAACUACUUAGUCCCAGAAUAAUUUUUUAUAGAAAACAAAGUUUUUGAAAAAUCCAUAGCAAUAGCUAGAAGUUUUUAUAAUGAGAUGAGUUGAAGCCAUGGCAAUGACAAGCAAUUAUACGAAUUCAUGCCUUCCCAAAUAAUCGGACGAACAAAUGCAGUGGUUGUGGGGGUUCUAUAGGAGACACAAUUUGCUGUGGCAUUAUUGAAAAUAUUUAUUUAUUUAUUUUUUGAUACUUAAUAUUGUUGCUACUCUUAUUCCUUUGACUUGAAGAAAUUCAAACCUGGAAUUUCCCAAAUCCCAGUCCAACCAAUUGCCCCUUGAGCCAGGCAUUAUUGGAAGCAUUUAUGGACUGAAACAACAAUCACUUAGCUAACUUUGUGGGUACGUGAUCACAUGUUGUCCUAAGAAUUGUCCUAAGAAAGACAUCUCUUAAUGUCACCAAAAUUGUGCUUCCUAUGUUCAACUCAUUAUUGAUGUUGGAUUGAAAAUUGGUUUCUUGGAGAAUUGACAUUGGGAGGAUCUACCCCUUUGCCUUCUUUUGAUCCUUGUCAAUUUCCUUCCUCAGAACAGAGAUUUCCCAAUACCCACAAUUCUCCAUUCUGAAACUCAAACUUUCAGCUUCACCAAACUAAUCAAGAAGUUAAUGGCCUGUAUAUUCUAAUCCUUUCCUUAAACCACAUUUAUCUAUCUUCAUCCUUUCCAAAUGAAAGAAUAGGAUCCAUGGCCUUCAGUUUUUUCUAAGCUAAGCCCUACUUUUCUAGCCUUUCUAAAAGUGGCAACCCAACACUCCUUUGUCAUCACCAACUUUAUUUGAAGUCCAUGGCUAUUCCAAAAAUUGGGCCUUGGCAUAGUUUAUCUGAGAUUGAAGCUCAAGAAUGUAAAUUGUAUUUUCCAGAAAUAGAUUCCAAAAGAGGAACAGAUAAGAGAUUCUUGUUCAAAUGUUUAGUUAUCAUUAGGAAUUUGAGAUUCCCCUCUAUCUUAAUAUUUUAGUUGUAGGUUUUCUCAAUAUUAUGAGAGAAAUAGAAUUGAUAGAAAAAUUAUGAACACCCCUUCAAAACAUAUUUAUUAAUAACAAAAAGAUUUAUUUAUAGGGGAAUAAAAAUGGGGUUGUCUCUUUGAUUUUUUCCAUUUUCUAAAAUCAAGAAUAAAAUAUCAUGGGUGGAGUGGGUAGGAGAUCCAACCUUGUUUGGGAUGAACUCAUACCUAAGGGAAUUGAAUUAAAAUUUUCCAAGCAAUGUGUAUCCCAAAUAGGAUAAAUUUUAUAUUCGGCAAUACACAUCCAUUUUCCAGUUAAAAUGCCUAUGAAGCAAACCAGUUAUCAAGGUCUUUAAUGUGUUAAUGGCCCUCUAGGGGGUUGGUUGUAUUUGGAUAGCAACAACUUUUUGUUACCGUUUUGACUGCCCAAAGGAUUUCUGAUCUCAUCCCUCUUUAUAUCACAUCCUUUCAUGAUAAAUAAUAUGGGUCUCCUAUCAAAGAAAAAAAAUCAAAUUAUUAAACAAAGUUUCCUCUAGCCAUAGAUCAUUAUGAAGUGAAAUCAAUUCUUUUUUUAAUAGGUAACGUUCUUUUCUUUUGUUGCCAAUGGAACCUGGAACUUAGAACCUCCCACAUCUCCGCUUCAACCCUUUGCCCCUUUGAGCCAUGCCUCAAAGGUCAUAAUUUAUCAAUUAUGAAUUGAAGUGAGAAUACAGAUCAUUUCAUAAUCUGUUACAUUAACAGAACAUCUUAUGUUUUGAUAUUAAAUUUUGGUUACUUUUUUAUUCUAGAAUUAGAUUUUCUUUUAUAGAAGGGGAUUGGUCCAUACAUUGAGGUGGAUUUUUUUAUUUUUCAUUUGAAUUAAAAAGAUAAAGCAUUUUCUUUUUAAAAUUUUCUGCAAUUGAAUAUAUACUUUAUACAUUAAAUAUUCAAUUUAGGCCACAACUGAAAUCAGUCUCCUUUUGUACUACAUAUAAAUUUUUAUAAUAGCAUCCUUUGUUCUUGUUAGCUGUUACUUGAAAGUAGAACUCACAAAAGCAUUGGAAGGAAAGGCAAGGCUAAAUCUAGACUGUACUAAAUUAUGAGGACAAACGAAAAAAUGAAGGAAGAAAUAAUUGCAGAAGAGAAAACUGUGUUUAUUGCAAUUGCAAUUGCAAAAGAGAAAAUUGUUUUGAUUUCAAAAAUAGAUAUUUCAAUUAGGUUCAGGUGAAAUAACCAGAACACUCAUCCAGAUUAAAACAAAGUAAAAAAAGAGUAGAAUACUUUUACAAUAUAACAAUUACAAAAUUAUGAAAUAACUUUGUAUAGAUUAUAUACAUAUCCAACAAAUAGGACAGACAACCAUCUUGAUAUUGAUUUCAAGACAAUAAAGAUACGAUAAAACUAUCAAAAUUCUAAAAAUAAUUUACCUCUAUAGGAGCCAAUUUAUGCUUUUCAAAUUUGCUUUUCUUGUAUGCUAUCACCAUGCUUCCCCAUCGAUAUGGAGCAGCCCAUAUUUUACCUUCAGCAUCUAAUUCUCCUUUGCUGUUCCUGCGUAAAUAUACCUGAGACUAUCUUAGUAGAAGUUAAAUUGCAAAAUAGAACUGAAAAAUAUUAGUAACUUGCUAAGGUACUUGCAGUUUUUCUCAAUAUUAUCAUUUAAUUUUAUAUCCUUCAAUAUAACCAAACUAAAAUAUAUUAUAAUUUUAAUAAUAUUAUGCUUUUAAAUUCUAUAUAUUAUCACAAAAUGUCAUAAAAUAUUACAUAUAUUAUUUCUUCAAAGAAUUCUUAUUUUAUCAUUUCUUGAAGUUUUUCUCAAUAUUUCUAUAAGUUUUUAUCAAAUUUCCUCUCACCAAUAUUUUUUUUCAAAAUUUCCACUAAUAUUUCCUGAUAUGUACCAAUAUAUUCGUAAAAUCCAACUACCGAUAAAUCUAUGAAAACCAAUAUUUUUAUCCUUGAAUAUAAAGAGGUUUGAUGAAAGCUAAUUUGGUUAAAAUAUGACAUAAAGUAGACUUUAAGUUUUUAAUUGAGCUAAAAUAUUUUUAUUUAAUUAAAUUAAAAACUAGUCAAGCUCUUAAGCACUUAGACUUGGCGCUGGAGCAAUCAAUCUCUUCUUAAGAGCAUCGAGCGCUUGUGCAUUGGAGGCAGAAUUCUCUUGAUUUAAAGUUUCAAUUUCUCCAUUUUUAAAACAAGUUUUUUUGGAGAAUUCUAGAUCUUGUUCACUAAGGAUCUCCCCUUCUGAAUACCAUGCCAUAAAGGUUUUUUAGUUAGAUGCAAAUUUUGGAAACAUCAACUAUUAGCCUUCCCUCAUCCCAAAACUCUCUAAUGGUAUGUGAUUCUCAUUCUUGGGUUCAUGAGAGAGAUUCAUAUCCUCUCAGGAGUUGAGAUAGUCCACUGGAUGCAUGUGUGGUGUUGCGUCGUGAACAUGAAGACUAGUAUAGAUAUUGGGAGUAAGAUUUAGGAAGAGCAUCUAUCAAGUAAAUCUAUGUGCUUUUCUUUCAAUUGUGGAUUUGUGCUCUAUGGCCUCUAAACACUGUGGUUUUUACAUCCACAAAGUCUCUAAUAGACUUUGUGGGUAGUUUUCCAUGCAAAAAUCAUUGUUUCUUAUGCGAUUGAUUUACCUUCUUCUUCCUUUUAAAGAGAAAUUAAAAUUAAACAUUUAGAGUAAAAAAGUGCUAAAUAAUUAUUCACCCUCCUCUUAGUAUUUCAUAAUCAAUCUCUACAAACUUUCAAAUGGCUCUCUUGGACUAGCCUAUAGAUAAUUGAAAUUUAAAAAAAAAAAGCAUCAUAUAGAUAUUAACAAUUCAUAUUCAAGUGAUUCCUUUUUUAUAUCUUGGGGGGUUAUAUCAACUGUCAUUGAUCUUUCUCCCUAUCCGUUGGAUAUUUGAAAACCGGUAGAAAUAUACCUUUUAAAGAUAACAUAGAAGCUUCUAAACCAAUCUGUGUCAAAUUUGAAGUAACCCUAAGUUUGUAAGAAGGCAACUCAGCCAAAUGAUGACUAUGAUGAGGGAAUGAUGAAUGGUGACUAUGAUGAAGGAAUUAUUAUUAUUAUUAUUUUGAAGUAGCCCUAAGAUUUUAGGAAGGCAACUCGACUAAAUGAUGACUAUGAUGAGGGAAUUAUUAUUAUUAUUAUUAUUAUUAUAAAAAACAACACUUUCAUUGCAUUGAAAUAUUAAGUACAAAGGAGGAUGGAAAAUCCUUCUAAGAAGUACACAAUCCUCUAUACAAAGAAGGAUUAAAGAGGCAGGUAAGUGUAUAUUAGUUCAAAAGUUCAAAUCUAACUAUAAUUCACAUAGGUAUAAAAUCUCCUACAAAAGAAAUCAUAUGUCUAGCUCCACAUUUUGCUAAUGCAUCUACCAUAUGAUUGCCUAAGCAAGAAGCCCGAGAGAAGGAAUUUUUAUUAAGCUAUAUAUGAUGAGGUAACUAUUUGUCAAGCUACUUAAGUAUAUUGAACAUGAGUAAGACAUAUGACCUGCAAUGCACACACAGAUUAUGGGGCAAGCACAUACAUAGAAGACCCCAAUGAAAGGUACCUGAUCUUUUAAUAUUUAAAUUUAAAGGUUAGAGCAUUCUUUUAAACAAAAGUACAAAACUCAAACUACAGUCAUUACAACAUCAUGUCCUCUGAUAUCUCUAUUCAACUCAAACUUUCCUAGUCCCUUUGGUACACCUCAUGAAAAGACUAAUAUCACAGACGUGCAUUACAUACUAUUUAAGAAACAUAUGCAUAUAAAUUAUGAACUUAUCGGCUAACCAGAGAGACCAAUAGAGGAACCUAUACUCCCAUUAAGUUUGUAUUUUUCUCCUUCCAGUGACUAUUCAGUCUUGUAGAGGAAGUUUCUUUUGUGGAAUUUGAUUUCUUUUGAAGGGUUUCUUAUUUUCCUUUUUCUAUGUAUGCGUCUAAUGAAGUAUCUCUUAUUCUACUUCGCAUGUCACCUCGUCUUUUAAUAAAUAUUUGCACCCUAAAAAAUAGCUAUACAUAUAUUAAGAAUUUUUGAAGGGUUUCUUACUUUCUUUAUCAAAUUAAAGGAAAACUAUAAUUGAUUGGGCAGUGUAGAUAUAAACAAUAAUACUUAAAUUAUACCAUGAGCAUAGUUAAAAUGAUGGUGCCAAGAUAAGAAAGCAUUAGUGAACAAGAGCAUUCAUAGGCUGUGAGAGGUAGCUCUAAAUGUAAAAAAGAUGAUAAAAAUUGAGACGGUUGUUUGAUAAAAGAAGUUGGGAUGGUUCCUUUAUUUAUACAAAGACAAGAAACUAGUUCAGUAAGGAGCAAUAUGUUUCUGUAUUCUUACCUUCCAUUUAUAGCUUAACCCUCUAAACCAAUCUUGGUCUUCCACCCCUUGUAUGGGCUCAAUUAUACCCUUAUUAAUGGCUAAGUCAAGCCAGGAGUCACCAACAGUGACAAUAUCAGCUGCUAGGGCAGAUUUAGGCUCAAUUUUGCCUUUGCUCAAGGGCCGACAUAGUUCAGAGAAUAUGUCCUGAAGACUUCCACGGAAAUUUGACAGUAACCUUAAUCUCCUUCCUUGUGAUUGCAUAAAAUCCUACAUGUAAGAAAGCAAAUUAAAUAACAAAUCUACAAGGGAUUGGCAUAAAUUUGACCCAAAUAAUAAUAUCAAUAGUAACAAAAAAUAUCAUAUAUGACACAAUUUAUGAUGGGAAAAUCCUUCUUUGAUUCUGUAGCAAGAUAUUUGUGCAAUAAAAUACUUUAUCAACUGAAGAAAUAGUGUUCACAGGCAAGCCUAAAUGAGCCCAAUACAAGGCCAAUCAUACAAUUCCUUGAAAAAAAAAAAGAAAGAAAAAAGGGAUGAAUAGAGAUCAAAUUCCAAAAUUUUUUUAUAAUUUCUUUAGCAACCUAGACAUAUAGAUAUGGAUUAUGCUGCAAACCUUAACCCAUGAAGGAGGUAAAGAGCCACGUAGAGUGACAAUUCUCAGAGGGACUGUCAAAGCAUAUGGUUUAGACUUCCAUCUUUUGAAAGCUUCUUUCAACUCCUUAUCUUCCAAGUUUUCUGUAUCCUCACUUUUUCCAACACCAUCACUAUCUAUGUUCAGAAAAAUACAUUGCACAAUUAGAAGCAACCAGGAGCUUAAAUUCAGUUUUUUCCAUGGGAAUAAAAAUACAUAUCAGUGCAAUUGUUUUUUUUUUUUUGAUAGACCAUAUCAAUGCAAUUGUAAUUCAAACAAACCAUCCAGACCAAUAGUAAAAUCACAAUCAUGUUCCAACUGGUAUUGUCUCCUCCCAAACCACAAAAAACUAAUUCAAACACAAUAAGCCAAUUUAGCUUACCAUAUAAUAUGGUCACACAGUCCAUGAAUAACACCAUGCUUGGCUCCAGUUUGCUAAAAUCAGGUCCAGGAAGUUCAAGAACUUGCUUUGACCCACCACUUAGUGUCCCAAAAGGGGCCAGAUCUUACCAUCUGAUGAAUCCCAAUUACACUAAAACCCUUAUAAAAUAAUGCUCCUGGGACCAAGAGAAAUUAUUAUGAAUUUUUGUUUGCUAUAGCCAUGUACUUCAUCAAUUAUUAAUUUAUAUUUUUUUGUACCUUUCAAAGGAUUUCUAAAAAUAUUAUUAUCUUAUGCAUUUAGUGACAUUAUUAAUUUAGUACUCUGGGUCGAGUUGGGACUGGAAGAUUUUAUUAUUUAAACAAAGUUAUUAAUUUAUCAAACUUUCAUUUAUUGAGCUUUAAUUGUAAAUGAGUAAGUAAAUCACAUGCAUUUGAUUUUCAAAUUUCGCAAGCAUAUAUGCUUUUACAUUGUACACAAUGAAGCACGGAUACUCUUGUAGAGUUGCCAAGACAUAUUUGAAAUGUCCCAACAUAGGUAUGCCUUAGACCUCCCAAAUACUCUUAAGUUUAUUUGACUUCAUUAUAAUGGGAUACAAUGAAUACAACUAGGAUAUGGUAGGAUAUCUUAUAUUUUUCAACAUUUUUACACUAUGAAGCAUAGAUACUUUUGUAGAGUUGCCAAAGAAUAUGUGAUAUGUUCCAAGAUAGAUAUGCCUCAAACCUGCCAAAUACUUUUAAGUUCAUUGGCUUCAAUUUUUUUAUUAGAAAAAACAGUUUAUUACCAUGAGGUAGAUAUGAAGAAGGAUGAGAAAUUCUUCCCCCAAACAAAACCACUACAUAACUCUGAUAAAAUCCAUGAAGAACUAUCUAUUCUAGAUAUCAAUGAAAAUUGAUACAACCAGGAUCUGACAGGAUAUCCUGUACAAUGCAAUAAUGGCCCAAAAUUCUAAAAGGGGAAGAUGAUGCCCAACAAAAAUAAAGUAUGCUAUACCUUGCAGCCAAUGGUCAUACAUUCAUGGUCCUUUCCUACUCUAAGGCACCCAAGAACGAGCUGUUGCUACAUUUGCUCAACCAACAGGCUUGAGAUGCCUAAAUAUUUGGCCUCCAUCAUUAGUGCUAGAAUUGAUGCAUUGAUAGCCACUCUAAGCCCAUACUUGUGAUCCCCAAUUAGGUUACUCAGUGUUUGCCCAGCAUUACUCUCUUGAAUGUAUUCAAGUGAUGACGAAAUUGAAAGAAAACAAACGAAAGUAUAAGGGGGUUUCCUUCAGUUUUCAUUUUUUGGGAUAGUUUUUAUAGAUUUCUGAAGGCCCUAAAGUCGUACUUACAAGACUGCUAUUCAAAAACAGAAAUGAAAUUACAAUGAAAGAUUCUUAUAAUUAUUUCACAUUUAACAUAGUGUCUAUGAGCACACACAAGGCAUCCACCUAGAUCUAUAACUUCAUAGAAAAUGACCUGUCAAAAAAAAAAAUCACUUCAUAGAAAAUGAUUCAUGUUAUUAACAUACUGGAGCAUGAAACAUAAUUUUGUGCAAGAUCAAGAACAUUUGUGUAAAAUCAAGUACAUUUGUGCACUAUAUCCGUUCAAACAAGCACAAUGAAGAUCUCAUUCCAAGCAAAAGACACCACUCAAUUUUAAAUUGUAAUAGCGAGAAAGCUGCAAUUCCUCUGAAUUGCUGCUUCCGAACAGACACGUGAUACAAAUGAUCGAUAUUUUGAGAUCACAUACCAUCGAAAGCAAAUCGAAAUCGGUAAGCCCACUCUGUAGACGAAGCAUUUUUUUGUUUUUCCUGGUAAAAAUGCUGGUAUACAACAAAUUUUGAAUAUCUUUUCUGAUUUGCUUCUCGAAGCAGACAAGGUAAACACAUAUCCUUCAUUUCUAAGCAACAUUUUACAGGACAUGCCCAUUAAAUUUAGAAACUUUCAAACAAAAUUGUUUUUCGCACUACCUUGAAUCCUCUGCUCCUGAACAGUUCGACACUCGGCGGCUACAACCGCCGGAAAACGUCCUGAAGUGGCAGAGCAGGCGCGGACACUGAACCCGAGGAAGAGAAUAGCAGAGACGGACGCAAUCUGAAGCAAGUCGGGAGGCAGUCUGGAGGGCUGCUCCGGUGGUGGCGGAGACACACCGGAGGUGGGCAACGCCGGCAAACAUGGAGGCCGGUACCGUGGACCGGAAACGCAGGAGAAGUUGAGGGAGAAUCUGAGACUACGAUGCUGUAGGAAUGGAAGGUUAGGGUUUGGUUUAAGGUCUUGGGAACGGUGAAGUGGGUGUGAGAGAAAGGAGGAGGAGGAAGAAGAAGCCAUUAAGCGAGGAGAAUGGAGACCGGAUAACACUUCAUAGUUAAGAGGAUAUAUUUGUCUUUUCAUAUUUAUGUCAAUGGCCUUUUAGUAAUUAUGAUAUUUCAACGUCCAACUAAAAAAAAUAUUUUAAAGCUUAUAUAUUAUUUUAAUUUUGUUUAAAAUUAAAAUUUAAAAUUAAAGCUUAUUUAAUAUGAAAUUUUUUUUAUUGAAUUUAAACAUACAAACCAUAACUACAAAUCAUCUUUGUUUGAGACUAUUUGAUAUUAGAAGACUAUUGUAUGUAUAUUCAUAGCUUAUGAAUAUCUUUUAAGGCUUAUUCAUAUAUAAUUUUUUUAAAAAAAAAAAACAUUUGUAAAAAUAAUUGAAAAACAAUUAGGAAAAAUUUUAAAAGUGAAAAAUCGUGAAAGGGUGCAAUGUAAGAUGUACAUUUUCGAACAUAAUUGAAAUGUUCUUUCUGGUGAUUUAAAAAAGUUCAUCCUUGGAAUUUCGAACAAUAAUCGUCAAACCUCCAAACUAGCACAUAACUCAUUUAAGUUUCUCCAAAAUCUUGUUGGACCAAACAAGACAGACAUAUAAAAAAACCCGAUCCAUUACCAUCCCAACAAACAUAGAUAUGUUGCUAAUCUCUCUUUUUUUGAAAAUAAUAAUAUAUUUCAUUGAAUAAUCAAAGCAAUCAUGUUAUUACACUACUUACAAAGCGUGUCAUAUUAUGACAUUACACACAAAUUUGAUCCGGAUAAUUGAGAAGGAAAAUACAAAUAGUAAAGAGAAAAAUUACAUACAAAAAUUACACAAUAAAAUAGGAGAAAGUGCAUUUACAUUAAGUAUUAUACAAACUUCCACAAGGAUGAUUUCAGUUUGGAAUCAUGGCGAGACUUGCUUCUUCAUUUAUCACGCUGGCCGGAGCUUUGUCACGCCUUUCUACAUAAGCAGAGGGAAACCAUCCGGCCGUGCCCUUGCAUUCACCCUCCGACCAUCCGUUGGGAGCCACCUGAUGAUAUUAUGGCCAGAAAUGAGAUUUUGAAAAUUCAAUGAACUUUGAUAAACUUGGUAACUUUUUUUAUAGGUAAAUAAGAGUAUAAAUUAAGAAAAAGGCCUCAAAAGGCACAACAAAUUACAUUCGAUGUAUAUAAUCGCCUUCUAGGCUAAACAAGGAAAGAAUAAACCGAAAAGAUUCUCUCCUUACUUGAAGCUCAGGUUGACUCUACAUGAAUAUUCGGCUUUGAAUGCCAAGAACACUAUGAAUGGUUCAAAGUAUAGUACGUAUUGGUCGAGUCAUAUCUGUCUUUGAUCAUGAUUGUGAUGAGUUUGAUACCGGAGUUAGUAUUGUGUGAUUCGAUAAUAAACUAUUUUCAACUUAAGUAUAGAUCAUUUGACCAACUCAUGGUAAACCUCGAAGUUGCAACACAAAAAAUUCAACCUGAUUUAUUUUUUAUCAAUCACUUUUUAUCAUUCUUAUUUUUUAUUUUCAAGAUAAACCAUUAUUAAGAAUUGGCACUUGUUUUUUUUUUUUGUAGGCAUUUAAAUUUUUUUAAUUCUUAACAUGGAAAUACAAAACAUUGAAAGUUCCAAUAAGCUGUUAAAAGGUCUCAAACAUUCCUCUUAUUGCUAGAUGGAUUUGCAAUAGAGGCAGGUGGUACCUGGCGAACGACAACAUAAUCAUCAACAGAAAGACCGAGCUCUCCAUCUGCUUGAGCAUCAAAUGGGUGUAUAACCUGCACGAUGAAAGAACAAGAAGAUAAUACUUAAAAAUGAGAAGUCCACUAAGAAAAUAUUAAAUGACGUUGACACAAACUUCUCAUGAUAGUUCAGCUACCACAGACAAAAACAAGGGUUGCAGACAGAAGAUACAUAGUGAAGCCAAUUAUUCAUUGUUAGGAACCCCAAGGUAUACACAAAGGUCAUCAGUUUGUUUAGAAAGUUAUAUUUUUCUAUUUCCUUGAACAAUCCUAUUCUGCAGAUUUAAUUCAAAAUUACACAGCCAUCUAGGUUUUUAUAAACAUAUUUAUGAAAAUUUUCAUUUUUUUUUUUUUUUUUGGCAUUAGAAAUAAAACAAGGAAAGAAUAAAUUUUGUCCUUUAACAUUCUAGAACCAACUGAAGCUCUGAAAUGCGCUCCACCAAAACUUACUCUAGACCCCAAGAAAAGUUCCCCUAGAUCUUAACCAAAAACUCUUUUAAACUGUGAAUUUGUGGUUCUCCCAUUAUCAAACACUUCCUAGAACAAGCCCAAGAGUAAACUUGUAACGAAGGAUGAAAUAAUUCCUCGGAUGUGGAUAAAAAGGUUAUUUGACCUCUACACAACAUUAUGGUCAUUGCCUACAGAAAUUGAAUAAUAUAUUCCCAUUCAUUUAAGAAUAGUGUACAAAAGAUACUUUAUUCUGUGACACAACACCUAGCAUGAGAGGAUGAUGAGCUGCAAAAUAUAAUUUGAUGUGGUGAAAUAGUCGCCAAUAGUGCAAUGAAACAGAUUACGAAAGAAAAAAAGAAUGGAGUAAGUGAAGCAAGAACUGGGAAAUUUAAUAAAACAGGGAGUAAUCCAUAGGCAGUAAUUAAUGGAUGGUCUAGGCGAUCAAAGACUUUACUUUUGCAAUAAAGUAUGAACCAUUUUGAUUUGCAUGUCCAUGAUUGUCAAAGCCAUUUGAAUUUGCAUCCUUGGAUGUGGUAGGAACGCAAACAUCUUUCUCCAUAGUUAUUGGCUGAGAUGAAGACUCGUUUUGUUUCUUCUCCAUAAUCAUCUAAUUCCAAUAAUAAACAUGUGGAGAAAGUAUUCCAGUCAUAAUCUUUGUUAUACUGAAAAGAAAUAUGUAAAAAGUAAUGAGAAUAGUAUCAGCUCCUGAUGAAGGUAUUUGAUACUCAUGAAGAACAGUACAUAAUUUGUCUCAGUAUGAAAACAAAGCAGGAUGUAUAAUUACAAACCUCAUCGUAUAGUUUCUCUAAAGUAGCAAGUACAGUUUGAUGAUAAGAUCUCUCAGCUUCCACCUGUAAGUUGAGUUCACUUGAGUUCCCACAACCAAACAACAUCUAUUAAAAGUCAAUAAUGCCUAACAUGAAUUUGUUUAGCAAAAAUGGAAAUAAAGAGGCUUGUCUGAGUCAAAUGUGCAAAACAAGUUCACCAUCAUAAGUUUCACACAUAUACCAGGACCUUUAUAAUGAAAAGUAGAAUGAGAAUGUGCUGAAGCAUUCUAGGUUUUAUUUUUUCUUAUGAGUGAUGUACAUUUUUUCCCCUACUGGGACUUGAACUUGAAGCCUCCCACAUCCCCAUCCCAGUCCCUGCCAUAAGCCUUGCAACAACCAACACUGGGCAACGCGGCAGGAUUCAAACCUAGGACCUCAAACAUCCCAACAUUCGCCCUAACCAAAUGGGUCACCCCGACAAGCUUUUCUAGAACUCGUAACAACUCUUUUGAUAAAAAAUUUCAAGUGCUGGAAAGGUUAAAAGUGCUUCCUAGAAUAACUACCAAACAGAUUCUAAAAGUAAUAUCUUUGCUUAUAUAAAUUUUUUUUUUUUUAAAAAGAAGACUCGAGAUGGUUUUUGGAUUGCUAGGAAAAGCAAACAUUUUUUAGGAACCAAAAUGUAUUAUCACUACAAACAAAAAAUGUGUUACUGAACUUGAAAGUGGGGAAUCCUCUUUUUGGGUACAAUCUUACUUUCAAGGACAUAUGUCCUCAUAAAAAGGCAAAAUGGUUCAGUUCCCUUCAUAUCUCUUAUUCCAUCUGCUCCUGAUCAAACAGAAAGGUUAACCCCAAAUCAUAAAAGAAUCCAGGACACUGGGAAAACAUGAAGUUCAUCUUUUCUCUUAGAAAAGGGUGAUUAAAAUAUGAAAGAGAAGUGCUCCUGUUGCAUUCUUCUUCUUCCUCUUCUUCCUUUUCUUCUUUUUCCUUUUCAGUGAUUCAUUUAUGUAACCCCAUGGACCAUGUCCAUUUUAUUUUAUUUUAUUUUUGGACACAUAAUUCAUUAAAGGGAUAGCUAAACCUGACAUACUUGCAAAGUAUAUACAGAUAAGCAAGUGCAAAAAGGCUCUAAUGCAAAAUAAAUGGCCAUGGAAAUCAAGAACACCCUGUCUACCACCCAUCCAUAAACAAGCGUUAAAAAAAUUGAAACAAUAAUUGAAAAGGUAUUUGUGUAUGUUGGUGGGUCCCCAAAUUUUCUGCAUUGAUAUUUCUUUGUCAUUCUAUCAUAGAAAAAUAGUACAAAUACUUUGGCAUAUCAAAAUUUCAACAUCAUCUCCCUUGGAAGCCAUUUUCAUGGGGAGAUACUGGGUAUCAAUGAUAUUGUUGUAGUCAUUCAUGCUCAACGACAUUGAAGAGAGAGAUAUAGAAGAAAAAAAAAAAGAUGUGACAAAGCAUGAACAAGAAUUGUAGAGAAAAGAUUGGAAAUUAAGUCGUAAUAUAUGGGAAAUUGAAUGUGUAUGGAGGCCCAUACCACCCCCUUGAGCCAUGAACAAGUCAAUUUGAUUCAAGCACUUAGCUAAUUAGCCAAGGAUUUUGAACUUAAGAUGUGUGCACUUGUUUGGUAUUCCACUCUAAGAAGCAAUAAUCUUCAAGUUGAAUUUAUGUAGCAAUACAAGUUCAUGAACCCUCGAUUAAAUAUGCUCAAGUAAAAGGAGGGUAAUAAAGAGCACCCUUCUUGGUUAAUCUUGUUUGUCUAUGAGCAGAUUUCAGAUCUUAAGAUCAAAUUAGACAACAUGAAUUGGGAUUAAAUCUCUAGUCUGGCUUUGAUGCUUAAAUGCAAAGUCUCUUAUUAGCCCUUAUCCUACCUGUGUUUUCCAUUAGGGGGGAAUCUAAAGGCAAACACUUUUUGGGAUCUUGUGAUUGACAGAAUUUCACUGAGAUUGGGUAGGAUGGAAAAGAGCUUUUUUGUCAUUGGGCAGUAGAAUUACUAUAGCGCAGUCCUGUUUGUCUCACAUUCCUCACUAUUUCCUCUCUUUUCAAGAUCCCAACUCUAGUGGCUUUUAAGAUUGAGAAAUUGUAAAGAGAUUUUCUUUGGUCAAGGGUGGGGGAGAGUAAGAGGGAUCACAAUGUUAGUUGGGAUCUAGUAUACAAGUCAAAGGUGGGAGGGGGUUUAAGCUUUGGGAGGAUUUUUAUGAGGAAUGGAGCCCUUCUAGGGAAGUGACUUUGGAGGUUUCCUAAGGAAAGUUUCCCUCUUUGGCAUCAAGUUAUUUUGAGCAUCUAUAGAACACACCCCAAUGGGUGAGGCACUAACAUUAUAGUUAGGUGGUCACACCAUUCCCCUUGGAAGGCCAUUGCAUAAGUUUUUCAGAACUUUUUUUAGAUAUGCUUGUUUUUUGCAGGUGAUGGGACAAGAAUGCAUUUUUAAGAAGAUUUGUGGUGGGUCAACCAUUGUGUUCUAAAUUUCCACACCUCUUCAAAAUUGUUACAAAUAAAAAUCUUUCUAUCCCAACUACUUUAAACAUUUCUCCUCUUUUUUCUUGGAACUUUAAUUGUAGUUGUAACCUUAAUGAUUUGGAGAUAGAGGUCCUUGAAACACUCAUGUCUCUCACACUAGGGUGCACUUGACUCCAUCCGUUCUAGAUAUAAGAGCUUGGUCCUUAUCUUUUUGGGGCUUAGUUUUGAGAAAGUCUUUUUUCUUAGCCUUAUCUAAUUCGAUAGACACAACUCCUUUCACUACAACUAAAUUUCUAUAGAAACCUAAAGUCUCAUCUAAGGUAAAAGCUUUUGCUUGGUUACUGGCUCACAAGAGGGUAAACACCAACACCAUGCUACAGUUGAAAAGACCUUACAAAACCCUUAACCCUAAUUGGUUACAUUACCUGUUGACUUUAGGCCUCUGGCACAGGCCAUUCAAAUUAGUUAGCUUGGAUUUAGUUCCUCCUAAGAGCAUAUGUGAUAUGAUGUCCAUCUCAUAUAAAAGUUUGGGGAGCUCCAUCAAAGGCAAAGUCCUGAGGCAAAUCGCUUAUCUCACCUUGAUAUGGAUUGUGUGGAGGGGAAGAAAUGGUGGGAUUUUUUAGGACAAGUAGAGGACUAUGGGAUCUAAUUUAUUUCUAUUCAUUCUUCUAGGCCUCUUGUUUCAUGAUGUUUAAGGGAAUUCCUCUUAGUGUUGUUCAACUUGAUUAACACUCAUUGUAUAAGUCAUAAGGGUGGUUAGUUUAGAGAGGAUUCCUCAUCCUUCUCAUGUACUUGCUUUACCCAAUUCUAAUACACUUUGUUUCCAAUCAAAAAAUGAAAAAAAGAAAAAAGGAAGGUGAUAAAAUAUACAAGAUUCUUCCACAGGUUAGCUAAUGUGCAUAGAGGACUUAACCAUAUUGGGAAGUUAAAUAUUGAAGGUGUUCUCAUAUCCAAUGGGGAGGUGAUCAGUUCAGAGAUCAUCUCAGCAUUUUUAUAGGCUCUUUAAAGAAAAGUAUGGUUGGAGAGUGAGGUUUGAUGGGUUGAACUUUACUUCUAUUGACAAACAGGACAGGGUUUCAUUAGAGAUAAGGUCCUUAUUAAGUUGAAGGGAGAUAAGGCCCUUGGUCCACAUAGUUGCUGCUAUGGCUUUUUGUCAGUGUAACUAAGAAGAUAUGAAGAAGCCUUGCCGGAUUUGAUGGCAAUAUUCUAUUAAUUUUUUUAACAUUUGUAGUGUUGAUACUGAAGAAAAGGGGUGUAAAGGAGCUUAAGGAUUUUAGACCUAUUAGUGCAGUGGGAAUGUGUAUAAAGUAAUUGCAGAAGGCCUAACCCUAAGAAUGAGAAAGGCAACUAGCAAAGUGAUUUUGACUAUCAGAAAGCUUAUGUAGAAGGCCGACAGAUCUUACACGUGGCAACUGGCCAUGGUAGGUGAUGAGGCUACGAUUCACAGUAUGAUAUUUUAGGGGUUGUUUGCAAACUAGAUAUUGAAAAUCCUAUGACCGUGGAACUCCCUUUUUUUUUUCUUUUUCUGUCUCGUUUUUUUUUUUUUUUUUUUUGGUAUCUGCUCUAUCUUGUGGGAUUUCAUGGAAAAGUGGAUUAGAUGGAUAGGAGCUUGCACUUCAAUCCACUUUUCUGUUCUCAUCAAUGGAACCAUCCGGCUUAUUUGAUAGCUCUAGGAGGUUAUGCCAAGGGACUCUCUCCUUUCUUAUUCAUUGGAGUUAUGGAAACUCCCAAGCCAUUGAUCAAAAGGGCUGUGGAAGGUCACUAUUUUUGAACUGCUUGUUGCUGAUAGCUCCCUUCUUGUGUGGAAUAACUUAGGACAGCUGGAAUACCUUAGACAUGUAUUGCUUUCUUUUAAUGUUAUUUUUGGCUGAAGGUAAAUUAGAUAUUAGAUAAAGAGUCAGCUCAAUCCUGUGGGUCAUGUGGGAGAUAAUACUCUGGUGGCUGCCGAUGCAGGGUCUAUAAGCUACCUAGUUCCUUGGACUUUCUCUAUAAGGCUAAGUUAGUGUAGGAUUCAGUAGUGGAGAGGUUUGAGCAGGGAUAUUAACCACUUGAAAGCAUUGGCACCUCUUUAAAUGAGGUCACCUACUAUGAUCAAGUGGUUACUGGUGUAUCCUUCUCCACUUUUGUCAUGUCAAUCUUGGUUUUUACAAUUUGAAGAAACUACAACAAAAUUAUUUUAUGUUGGGUGGCUUAGAGGGAGGGAGGAAGAUGCACCUUGUUUAUUGGAAUGUGGUGUGCCCCCCCAAACAAAAAGAGGGCUUAGGAAUUAUAAAGUUGGACAAAGUAAGUUGAAGCACUUACCAUCAAAAUGGAUAGCCUUUGGAGAAGUAUGAGAUUGAGAUUGAGAUAUAAGGAUGCCUAACAUGGUGAGGGAUUUGAAUGGGAAAGGUUUCUUAAAGGCUGUGGGGGGUUAUGGAUGUGUUCACCAAGUUCACAUGCCCUUUUUAUGGGAAAUGGGCAAAGAAAGAGGUUUUGGCAUAGUGCUUGGUAAUGCAACUUCUGCUCAAACUGAGGUUUCCAGAGUUUUUAUUAAGGCUAGAUAUGAAGAAACAUCAAUAUCUAAUUUCUUCAGUUAUUAGUGCUGAUGCUUCUUAGCAUCCAAGAUUUGUGAGAGAUUUUUCAAGAUUGGGAAGUAGAGAUGGUAAGAGAAUUCUUGGAUAUGAUUACCAAAAAGGUUGGAUAAGGGAGGAUGGGUUGAAGGGAUGAUUCAAUAGCCAAUGUGUUUCACUGAAAGUUUUUUACUUAUUGAUUUUUGGGGGGCUGUUUCCUGGCUAAAAACAUUUGGAACUUGGUCACACUGUAAAAAAUAGAGUUAUUUUGCUUACAUAUUUAUUUACAUAUACAGUUUAGGAGGGAAUCCUGACCUUGGAUCAUUGUAAGGUGAGAGGUUGGAGCAUGACAAUCAUUGUUGCUUAUGUAAAAGGAAAGAAGAAUCAGUACACUAUCUUCUGAGUCAUUGCACACUUGCCUGGGAGCCUCAGACUAUGGUGUUUAUGUUAUUUCAGAUUACUUUGAUGCUACACUGAUACUGGAAAGAGGUUCUCAGUAGUUGAAGUGAAUACUUUAGUGCAUUUGGAAAGAAGAGAAUAAAAAGAUUUUUGAGGGAAUGAAUCCACAAUGCACAAAGUUAAAGAAAUCUUCUUUACAGUCUUGGACUGCAGGUGAUUCUGGUAGCAUGAGACAAUCACAGAUAAUUUCACUGGUAGCUUGGAUAGCAUUACUGGAUAAGGAGAUUGGUCACUUUCUCUUAGCAUUCUUUGUAAUAACACAACAGCCACAAUCUGAGUAUACUUCCUGUGUAAAUUGAUUAGGGGCCCUUUGAUGCUCUUUCAAUCUAAUUCUGUUAUCUAUCAAAAAGAAAUAAUAGAAUAAAUAUGGUUUAAUCUGCCCAAAACAUCUUGCGAUGCUACUACAGUCUGCUAUGAGAAGCAAAAAAAUAAUGAGAAUCUCACGGAAAAUAAGGAUCAACUAAUGAAUAAAUACACUACCAUAGUAAGAAGCCGUUGGAAUGUUAUUCGCUGCUGCUGAGCCUCAACUGACAGCAUAGCAGCAGUUGCUUCUCUGCCAAGUGCCAUCAUAGCAGAUUUAAGCUCACUCAAUUUUGCUUCUGCACUUUGAAGCUUUAUGGAACUCUCUGCAGAAGUAGCAGGGUCCCUGAACUUUGCUUGGCGCCUUAACACAUCAGCUGCCUAUGAGAAAAUAUUAACCACAUAUUUACUAUGUCUCCUGUACCACAUGAACCAUACACAACUAGAUGGUAUAUUAAAAAGUACCUGGGACUCCACCUCUUGGCGAAGUCUUUCAUAGCGGUGAGUCAAGUGGCGAGCAUCCUCCAAAGGAGCUCCUGUUAUUAAUACUCGUAGUGGCUCAGAAACCUACAGAUGCAUAACCAAGCUAUAACACAAAUAUAAUAUAUAAAAAAGGGCAUAUUCGAAGACCAAAUUCAAAAAAUGGAGCAUUAGAUUAUGGUAACAUAUCCCAAAAUAAGCAUUGUGAUUACUAGGUAAUACAAAGAACUGGUAAGCUAUAAUAUCAUCUGAUAUUUUUCUUGUUGGAACCAAAAAGAAAAAGCACAACACGCAUGGGGUAUGCUUGUAUACCUUUUCUUCUGUUGCUUUUUGUUGUUUACCUUCUUUCUCUCAAUGAAACAUCCCACAUCUGACACCUAUUCAUUUAUGUUAGUAAAAGGUUCAGGAAAGUACGUUCAUUUGCUAACAUGGUUCUAGAAUGAUAUGAAACUUGUGACAUGAUUUUAUGCAUGAAUAUUGAUAUCUGUGCAGAUAUAUACGUAUCUGUUAAUGUAUCAAAACUCAACUAUUAUCUAAGGUAGACAAAUUUAUUUCUUUUCAAACCUCAUAGGAGCCUAUAAGGCCAUAACAACCAACCUUACUUCUCUUGGGUUCUAGUCGUCUAACCUGGCAGCUGGACAAGCAAGGAGCCUUAGAGUCAGUCAGAGACACUUGAUCGUGAUUUUAUGCCUCCUUUGGCUAUACCAAUAAUUGGAUCCAAUGAUAGAUGCAUCUUAGGUCUUGGUUCUUAUAGUCCUUUUUUCCCAGGUUAUACUUGUAUUUGUAGUUUUGGCUUACUAGCCCAUUCUUCCUUGCAUUUUUAAUUUAUUAUUAAAUGAAUUGUUUUUUUCUAAUAAAAAAACACAAUAAGAUUAAAGAAACAACAUGUCAAUAUUUUAUAAGGUUCUAACAAAAUGCCCUCAAUAUUUGAAAUUUGUAAUGCUACAUCUCUGCAUGUUAUUUUAGGUAACACUUAGCAUUGCACAUGUUUUUCAUGCUAUUGAGUGCAACAAGCACUUCAAAAUGCUACUGAACUAUCAAAAUGUUGGCAUAUACCUGAUCACAGAAGACCCCAAGCAAAGUCUCCCUCUCUUUUUCCAUUGAACUAUGUGAGUUGCCAAAGUAAAGAGCAGCUCUUGCAAGAGGAGAACCAGUGCUUUGAUUCUCAGUUCCAUAUUUGCAACAAUCUUCAGCCAUCCUUCUUACUAGAAAUUUUGGGAUGAAAAAUUUUGCACAUUAGCCUUGUAAUGGAAGCAACAUGCUACAAAGAAGCAAACCAUAGUACCUAUCUCCAUUUGCUUUGAGCUUGUAGAAACAAAACCUUCAAUACCACGAACAAUGUCCUUCUGAAAAUGCUGUUCAAAAUAAUGAAAUUUAAAACUUUGAUCAAUUAAAAGCUUUGUCUACGAGCUAGCGGAAGUUGCAUGAGAGGAUCAUUCAUCAGACAAAUAAGCCAGCUUGUUAAUUCCAAGAGUACUAGAUAAAGGUUCGAUGAUUGUACCUUAGCCGUCCUUGUAGAAUUGUACAAGUUCUGUAAUUGCCUCUGUUCAGCUUCAUCAACCACAACAGUUUCAAUACCAAAAUGUCCCAAUUGUUUCAGAACUGCCUGAAAAAUAACAAACAGUUAAACAUUACAACAUGACAAAAGACACAAAUUAUAAAAAUAAAUAAAUAAAUAAGCAUACAAGAAAAAAAUGUCAUUUCUAUACUUAAUAAAUUUGAGAAUAAUGCAAUUUGGUUUCUUUUUCCAUUGAAUUGCUAGUGGCAAACAUAACAGUAGUAGUAAUUACCAAAAAUAUCAGAUAUGACUGUAGAUAAUCCAAAGGAUAUUAAAUUAAUGACAAGAAUCUCUGGAUUUUGAAUGUAUGAUACCAAUCUCCAGAGAUCAACACGCUGGGCAGAUGGUCAUCAUGUCCAGUUUGAUGACUUAUUUUUUGUCAUCUAGCUCUACCUAAAACCAUAUCCUCAUCCUUGGUCAUAUAUUGUUUCUUGGGUUUUUAGUUUUAUUUAAAAACAAAAUACAUUUGAUAGGCCUUUUUUUAAAUUUAAAUAUGGAUAUAAAUAGAAUAUUGCAUUAAUUAUUACAUAUAUGCAUUGCAUGUGACAUUAUUUCUAGUAGUUUUGAAUGAGAAAAUAUAUUCUUAGUUAACAUUAUAUAGCAUGAGAAGAAUAAGGUUCAAUCGAGUGGAGUUCUUUGUUCAGCAUCUAAAAAUUUUGACUCAAACAAGAAAAAUAUAAAAUAUCUCAUUAAAAUUAUUUAAAUUUUUCCACUCCUCUCCACAUCUUCUUACUCCACUUCUGAACUUUUCUUUUCCUUUUUUAGGUAGUUUCAUUCAUUUUCUUCCCUUCCUCUACAUCUUCACAUCACAAAAUUUUAUCAAUCAAAUUGAUUCAACAAAUAAAACCAUUAAAUGAAAUUAAUAUAAAAUAUCUCAUGAUUUUCUUGUACCAGCUUAAAAAUUGUUUUUAACAAUUAAAGACAUUAAAACAUAAGCAUCUCAUCAUUUCAUUUUUGCAAUUUUUUCAUCCAUCUUCUGCCUCUACAUAUUCUUCAUCUGUUCCCCCUAUAUUUUCUCACCAUAAAAUUCUAACGAAUUCUCAUCAGUUUUUUCCUGUUUAAAAAUUGAGUUUCAUAGCACAUAAAAUAUUGAACUGCUUUAAAUACUUAUGAUUCUAAUAUAGUUUUUAAACCACAUGUAUCCCAUGCAAUUUUACUAGUACUUAUAGAAACUAGAUACAUUUCAUAUAGAGGUUGCCAAAAAUGAUUUGUCAUAUAAAAUCACCAUCACCAUACUAUUAUAAAAUUUAACAAUUAAUAUCCAAAAUUCAUAUAUAUAUAUUUUUUUAAAAAGUGCUAUAACAUCAAUAGUCUGAAAACCCACAUCUUAUUUGCUAUAAGAUUUUGUUAGGUAGCCAAGAAAAUAGAAGGAAAGAGAGAAAUGAAAAGAAAAUACAAACUGAAAAACAAAAAAUCAAUAUUCUUUCUGUUUCUUUUCUUUUUUCAGCAGCCAGAGGGAGCAAAAGUAGUUUUAAGAUCAAAAUUACAAAGUUCAUUCUCAUUUCUUUCCUUUUCUCAGUAGUCAAAUGGAGCAUAAAAAUUAAGAUAAAAAAAAAAAAGGUACCAUGGGAAAAAUAAGGGCCAAUUAACCAAAGCUAUUAGUUAUAAGAUUGAAAUUAUCAAUUUUCUUUCUUUUCUUUUCUUUUCUUGACAGCCAAAUGGAGCAUUAGAAAAAAUAAAAAUAAAAAAUCAGUAAAAUAAUGCUAUAACAUCGAAAGUCCCAAAAUAGAACCCAUGCCUUGAUUACAAGAAGUUGAAAAAUUUUCUGUUUCGGUUGCAGAGAAGACAGAAGGGAAAAGAGAAGAAAAGAAUAGAAACAGAGACUAAAAAUAAUAUCAUAUAAAGGAACAUCAAUCUUGUUUUGCGUGAGAACUUGUAUCACUGUUGUCACAAUUGUACCAUGAGGAGAACAAGCCCCAAUUGGAAAAAAUCAUUCUGAAAAUUUUAAUUUAAUUUUUAAUUCACAUGCAUCAUAUGGGCAAUUUUACUAGUAAUUACACAAGCUAUAUAUGCUUCAGUCAUAAACAAUAACUACUGAUACUCAAAGAAAGUUAUCCAAGCUGUCUAAAGAUUCUUAUACAAUACAACAAUUAAUACCCAAUUUCAGGGGGUUGGGAAAUCUUAUUCAAUGUAACUAUAAAGACUCUGUUUGCUAGCUGAGAAACCUGAAGGAGAAAGAGAAAAGGAUAAAAACGAGAGACUGAAAACAGAAAGCAAAACAACUAUAUGUUAUGGUUUCAAAUCAGACAGUAUAGCAUUAUCGUCAGAAUUGCAAAAAGCUUCAAUCCAUCAGAGCUAUUAGUUUUAAGAUCGAGAUUAUCAAUUUUAUUUCCCUUGCUUUUCUUUCUUAAUAGCAAAGCAGUACAUAAAAGAAAAAAAGAAAGAGAUCAUUUAAGACUGAAUUUAUCACUUCUACUUUUAUUUCUUUUUCUUUCUCAGCAGCCAAACUGAGCAUAGAAGGAAAAUUGAGGAUAAAUUAUCAAUUUUCUUCUAGUCUCUCAUCCUUUCAUAUUACCAAAUAGGAGCAUAAAAAAAAAAAGAAAAAAAAGAAGGGGGAGAAAAACAAAUGGUACCAUGAGAAGAAGAACACCCAAUCGAGCAUCUAUUAGCUUAAAGAUUGAGAUUAUCAAAUUUUCCUCUCAUUUCCUUCCUUUUCCUUAACAGCCAAAAAAAAAAAUGGAGUACAAGAACAACGUCCAAUCGAGUUAAUAUUUUAGGUUUAAGAUUGGAAACAUCAAUUCUCUUGUCUCCUUUAUUUUCUCAGCAGUCAAACGGAGUAUAUAAGAGAGAAAAAAAACACUAAUUUUUAAAGUGAGGGAUUAUCAAUUUUCUUCUCCUUUCUUCUCUGUUCUCGGCAGUCAAACGGUGCAUUAAAACAAAAAAAAAUCAUAAUUUUAAGGAAGAGCUAAUCAAUUUUCUUCUCGUCCCAUGGGAGCAUAAAAAAAAAUGGUGACAUGAAAUGAACAAAGUCCAUCCAGGCAGAGCAACAAGUCUUAAAGAUCAAAAUUAUCAAGUUCCUUUUCGUUUCAUUCUUCUCUCUUUCUCAGCAGCCAAACCAAAACACCACAACAUCAGCCGUCCCACAAUAGAGCCCACACCUUAUUCGCCACAAUUCAACUUGGUUGCCGACCAUCGAACAGAGCUAUUACUUUCAACAUUGAAGUUAACAUUUUUUUUUCCUUUCCGUUUCCAUUCUUCUUCUCACCAUCCAAACAACAAAAACAACAAAAAACUCAGAAUACCUGUUGCUGCCUGGCUACUUGCUCCCUCAGCUUGCUUGCCUGCUUGCGAAUGGCCUCCAUAUUCAAAGUGAAGAAACCAGUUGUAUCUUGCAAGAAACGAGAGAAAAUGAUCGAGAAAAACCCUAGAUCUGCUAACAAAAUAUGAUGGAGACAGAGAGAUACUGACAGAGAGGGCGGUGGGGUGAGGACAAGGGUCACUCCCCAGUGUGGAAAACGCUGGAAAGUACCUAACCCACCACUGGGAUAACUGUUAGGAAAGUCGAAAGCGAUGGGAUUUUGGGGGAUAGCGCGUUGCGCCUUGGCAUCUGGUGAUAACACCUGGCCAGACCAUGGAGGGUCGGAGUAUUGGACCAAGAUAAUAUUUUUUUAUAUUAAAAAUAAAGCAUAUCCUACAAAUCCAGUGCCUCUUAAUACACGUGGAUAGCAUAUGUAUAAAAUUUUAUUAUUAUUAUUAGGGUUAAAUAAAUUUUAUUCCUUGACCUUUGACUUGUUUCAUAUUUUGUUCCCUCCUAUUUAAACCUUAACACUUUGCUCCCCAAAAUGAUUAAAAUGCAAUACUUUAUCGCCUAAGCUUAUUAAAAAGUUAAUAAAUGGUUUCUUAAGUUUAAAAAAAAAAAAAAACCCAAUGCUAAAAUAAAUAAAAAAGUUGAAAUAAAGAAGAACUUUUGUUACCCAAAUUCUACAUUGACAUACUUUAUAGUUACAUAUGAGAAUCACAAAUAGUCAUCGAACAUCUCUUGAAAAUAAAAAAUAAAAAUUGGUAGCUAUUAUAUUUUGAAAUCAUUCGAGAAAUUUUAUUUUAAAGUUGUUAGUUCAAAGUUGGUUAUUAUUAUUAUUAUUAUUAUUCCUUUAGAAUUUGAAAGAAAAAAAAUUCUCAUCUUUUUCUUCUACUUCAUUCUCAUCUUCUUCUACUUCAUUUUCUUCUUUUCAGGUGCAUUGGACGAAAAACUCAUAUUUCCUUCACAAACCCUACAAAAUUUCUCAUCUAUCAUUCCCAAACUCUAGAAAAUUUCAACUCUCAUCCUCUGUUUCAUUUUCAAUUCCUAAAAAAAUUCUUAUUAUAUUUUUGUCAAGUUAUCUCAUAUUAUAUCUUCAAGCAUGAAAGAAAAAAAAAAUGAGUUCAUCGAAUAGUGAUAAGAGAAAGAGCUUUAAAAUGAUGGUGAAAAAGCAAAAAUCCUAAUUACAAAUGGACAAAGAGAGUGAAGCUAUUUAGCAAAAAUCCCUAUUACCAACAAAAGAGAAAAGUGAAUAUGCUAAACUAGUGAGUGUAGUCUUUACAUUUUAUAAAUUUUUGGAAUUUUUAAAGAUGUUAUACAAAAAUUUAGGAACUUUGAAGUGCAUUCAAAAUAUAAAAUUGUAUAUAUAUAGUUCUCCAUUGUUAUCAAUUUUGUAUUUGGAGUGCAUAAAUUUAGAUUUGUUGGUUGAUGUUUAAAAAUAUUUGGAAACAAUUAAAGUGUGUUGAAAAAUAAUAGCUUGCAUAUUAAUAUUAUUUUAGUUUUCUGUAUUAUUAUCAAUCAUGUGUUUAGAGUGAAUUAGAUAUAUUCAAUGUAAAAGCAUCUAAUUAGGGAUAAGUUUAUAAAGAAUUUAUGAAAUUUUAGGGAUUUUUAGAAAAUUUAGGGGUAUUUUAUAAGAGUGUUUGAGUAGGUUUGUGUUUGUUUCUUGAUGCUUUUAAAAUUUUGGGAACUAUUGAAAUGUAUUUAAAAUAAUAAAUUGUAUAUUUAUAAUUUUUGUAGUUCUAUAUUAUUGUCAAUUAUGUAUGUAGAGUGAAUAAAAAAUAUAAAAUGAUUUCAUGCAAUGACAUGUGAUUAAGGAUAAGUUUUUAGAGGAUUAAUGAAAUUUUAGGGAUUUUUGAACUUUUUAGUGAUGUUAUGCUAUGGUGUUUGACUAGGGUUAGAUUUCUUAGUUAAUGUCUUUAAAAUUUUGGGAACUAUUGGAGUGCUAUUAGGUUAAUAAGUAAUUGUAUAAUAUUUAUAAUUUUGUAUUAAAUCUUUACUAACUUUAUUUUAUUUAAUUUACAAACUUCUACUCCCUCAACAUGUCUUAUAGUUAAAAUACUUAUAGAAGA
This 28692-nucleotide long non-coding RNA is filed under the name Vitis vinifera (wine grape). RNAcentral describes it as "long non-coding RNA (VVIN_LNC000568)". Lineage: Eukaryota; Viridiplantae; Streptophyta; Magnoliopsida; Vitales; Vitaceae. The record is from RNAcentral.